Molecule: ribosomal RNA, 429 nt
Filed under: Gemmatimonadota bacterium
Lineage: Bacteria; Pseudomonadati; Gemmatimonadota
Description: Gemmatimonadetes bacterium partial 16S ribosomal RNA
Rfam family: Bacterial small subunit ribosomal RNA
Source: RNAcentral
UAGGGAAUCUUCGGCAAUGGACGAAAGUCUGACCGAGCAACGCCGCGUGAGUGAAGAAGGUUUUCGGAUCGUAAAACUCUGUUGUUAGAGAAGAACAAGGACGUUAGUAACUGAACGUCCCCUGACGGUAUCUAACCAGAAAGCCACGGCUAACUACGUGCCAGCAGCCGCGGUAAUACGUAGGUGGCAAGCGUUGUCCGGAUUUAUUGGGCGUAAAGCGAGCGCAGGCGGUUUCUUAAGUCUGAUGUGAAAGCCCCCGGCUCAACCGGGGAGGGUCGUUGGAAACUGGGAGACUUUAGUGCAGAAGAGGAGAGUGGAAUUCCAUGUGUAGCGGUGAAAUGCGUAGAUAUAUGGAGGAACACCAGUGGCGAAGGCGGCUCUCUGGUCUGUAACUGACGCUGAGGCUCGAAAGCGUGGGGAGCAAACAGG